CUAGUUAGUCCAACAUAUCAAAGAUGCAAGUUCUUCCAAGUUGUAGGCAUAUUUAAAAUGGUGGUUCUUCCCCUCUUGGGUCAGCUAGCAGAUGAAUAUGGGCGUAAACCACUGCUUCUGAUUACUGUUUCUACAUCCAUAGUGCCAUUUGCCAUACUUGCUUGGGAUGAUUCCAGGGCAGCUGUUUACUGGUACUUUGUACUUCGCA
Molecule: long non-coding RNA, 208 nt
Organism: Zingiber officinale
Lineage: Eukaryota; Viridiplantae; Streptophyta; Magnoliopsida; Zingiberales; Zingiberaceae
Exons: 3
Source: RefSeq, a predicted model, not a curated record